UACAUGAAGGUGACUACCAAAUUGUCAUAGGCACACUUCUGGUAAAAAAAAAAUUAAUGUAGUGAAACCCAUAAAAAAGUACGCACUGGAAAAGAACUUUUACAAAAUAAUUCCUAUCUUAAUAAAUCUAAUCAGUAUAACCAAUCAUGUCAUAUACUUGCUGAACAGCUAUAUGAGGAAGAUUUCUACUGAAUGGUACCUAUCUCCAAGUUAAUGAGGUCGGAUCAGAUAAAGUCCAUGUAAAUCAAAGUGCCAAUGUUCAUUUUGUAACGAUUAACACUUCUUCUGCAUUUAUUUCUUGACAUUUUCAACAUCAUAGUUUUUCUACAUAACUCUUUGAUUAUCAAUUUAAAGUUCAAUUUUUUAAUUGAUUCAUUGUUUACUUUUGUAAUUCCUCUCUUUUGUUGCCUUUUAAUUUAAAUGCUUGUUCCUCGGAUUAUGUUUGCUGUGUGGCUGCUUAUUUCUAACUUUUUCCUUUGGUUGGGGAAUAUACAUUGUUAUUAAUAUAUUCUUGAUUUUCUAUUCUAUAUCUUGUUUUGACUCUAGUUCCUACAUUUAUUUUGCUUCGAACCAUUUCAAGAAUUAUGAUGUUUGUGUAAAUUCUUUGACUUACCUUAGCAUAGUGUUCUAAAGUUACUAGCAAUUCUAAAACCUCUGAUGGGAUUAAUCAGCCAACAGAAGUUUGAAAAAUCUUGUGUCUAUAGUUAUUGGCUUUUAUUUUUGAACUUCAGCCAUUUCCACUUUGUUCACGAGCUUGUAAUCAUACUUAUGGACUCAACAAUUUUUUUACUUCGAAAUAUUGCCCUGGUUUUGGAAGGUUAUUACUUUUGUGUUUUUGGUGAGAACUCUCUCUUGUUUUCUGUGAUUGCACAAGUCAAGAGAAUUUUUCCUACAUAUUAUUCUCAAUGUAGAAAAUGAAAUGUUGCAUACACUUUCAUUUUUAGCAGGCAUUAUGGAGAUGGAAUUCUUGGGGCUCACCCAAUUUCUACAAAUGAACUUGUCUGUUUUGAGAAAGCCUAGAACGGAAAAGCUAGACAACAUUCUGAUUGGAGUAAAGGAUUCAAUAUGCAAGGUAUUAUGGGUAAGGAACAUUUUAACUUUUCGGAGAUUGGAUAUGUUGUUCUAAGGGCAGGUCCCUCUAUUAGAUUAUAUAAAUCUUAAUAAAGUUGGUUUUUUCAAAUAUACUUCUAACUUUAUUUAGUGACAAUCAUUACUUUUUUCUUUUUACAUUUACAUAUUGUUUGUGAAGGCAUAUUUGCAUCUUUGUUUGUUUUGACGUUCAAUAAUUGGAACAAAGAAUCCUUUGGUGACUCGCCUGAUAGAAAAGACGAAUUGAGGUCAAUAGUACUUGUUAUAUUAUUGUUGCUAUACUUGUGUGUAAAAUUUUAUUUUUCUUCGAGUAUGACAUAAUCCCCAUAACAACAAUGGUGGCAACUUAAUUAAAUUUUUGAGAUUGAGCAGGUAAAUAAUUUUACUUCAUGAAUUAUAUAGUUCAUACAAAUGAUAAUUUCUUUCACGCCAGUUUCUUGAAAUUAGAAGUAUACUAAAGAUACGAGACUAAUUUAAUUAGAAUGAUCUUCAUUUUUGUAGAUGCAUUGGUCUAGCUUUUUCCCUCCGAUUUAUGCUACUUGUGUAUCAGUCUUCAUCACAUGUGCUAAUUAUUUCCACCUUGUUACAAUUCUAAUUGUAUUAAUAGAAAUAUAUUUUUGUCUAGAAUCCUCUUUUCUGCAAAAUAAAUUUGUUCGGCCUUCAUAAAUUUCAAUACUCAUUUAUCGUAGUACUAUAUGCUGCUGUAUUAAUUCCUUGUCUUCCUCUUCCUUUUCCUCUAAUCUAUUCACAAUUUUCUCACGUGUCAUCUCUAUAUUGGUAUAGGCCAAAACAUAGAAGCAUUCGACGAUGUGUUAUGUGGGUAAUGGACAGAUGGUGGUGGUCUGUUGGACUGUAGUUUGAAGAGCCUUUUGAGUUAUUUGGACUUGUGCUAAAGUUGGAGUAUCUUCUAUCUAUUUUCCAAACAUAAUCUUCAAGUUGAACUCAAUCAUAUGGUCCAUGUCAAACGUUGAAAAAUAUCAAAUGUGUCAACUAUACCAGAAAAACAGAUAAUGUAACCCCACUCAUUUCUUAUUCACGUAUAUUUUUUAUUAAUCUAGGCGCGAUAGAAUGCUGUUGUGAGAUUGUAAAAGCCGUUAACAUGUUGCCAAAAUUUUCUUACAUCAUGGGGAAAUUGAUCUCAAUGUGUUAUCUUUUC
This is a long non-coding RNA of Olea europaea var. sylvestris, 2245 nucleotides long. RefSeq lists it as uncharacterized. Lineage: Eukaryota; Viridiplantae; Streptophyta; Magnoliopsida; Lamiales; Oleaceae. The transcript has 2 exons. The record is from RefSeq and is a predicted model, not a curated record.